This is a non-coding RNA of Rhodofomes roseus, 76 nucleotides long. Lineage: Eukaryota; Fungi; Basidiomycota; Agaricomycetes; Polyporales; Fomitopsidaceae. The record is from the annotation of a RefSeq genome assembly.
GCUUACAUGGCUCAGUUGGUUAGAGCGCAAGACUCACAAAUAAAUAGUGAUGUUAGUUCGAUCCUCAUCCGAAGCA